GUACUCGCUUCGGCGGUACAUAUACUAAAAUUGGAACGAUACAGAGAAGAUUAGCAUGGCCCCUGCGCACGAAUAAAACAUAGAUCAACGUUUAGUUGUUUU
Small nuclear RNA from Schistocerca cancellata (South American locust), 102 nucleotides. The record is from RefSeq and is a predicted model, not a curated record. Lineage: Eukaryota; Metazoa; Arthropoda; Insecta; Orthoptera; Acrididae.